AUUGAACGCUGGCGGCAUGCCUUGCACAUGCAAGUCGAACGGUAACAGGUCUUCGGAUGCUGACGAGUGGCGAACGGGUGAGUAAUACAUCGGAACGUGCCUAGUAGAGGGGGAUAACUACUCGAAAGAGUGGCUAAUACCGCAUGAGAUCUACGGAUGAAAGCAGGGGAUCGCAAGACCUUGUGCUACUAGAGCGGCCGAUGGCAGAUUAGGUAGUUGGUGGGAUAAAAGCUUACCAAGCCGACGAUCUGUAGCUGGUCUGAGAGGACGAUCAGCCACACUGGGACUGAGACACGGCCCAGACUCCUACGGGAGGCAGCAGUGGGGAAUGUUGGACAAUGGGCGAAGGCCUGAUCCAGCAAUGCCGCGUGCAGGAUGAAGGCCUUCGGGUUGUAAACUGCUUUUGUACGGAACGAAAAGCCCCGGGUUAAUACCCUGGGGUCAUGACGGUACCGUAAGAAUAAGCACCGGCUAACUACGUGCCAGCCGCCGCCGUAA
Molecule: ribosomal RNA, 498 nt
Filed under: uncultured bacterium
Lineage: Bacteria
Description: partial 16S ribosomal RNA
Rfam family: Bacterial small subunit ribosomal RNA
Source: RNAcentral